CGAGAAAGCCCGCAAGGGUGAGUACAGCGGCGCACGGGUGCGUAACACGUGGGUAAUCUGCCCUGGAGUCCGGAAUAACUCGCCGAAAGGCGUGCUAAUGCCGGAUGAGACCACGGGGGCCUCGGCCCCUGCGGGAAAAGGUGGCCUCUGCAUGCAAGCUAUCACUUCAGGAUGAGCCCGCGGCCCAUCAGCUCGUUGGCGGGGUAACGGCCCACCAAGGCUACGACGGGUAGCUGGUCUGAGAGGACGAUCAGCCACACUGGAACUGAGACACGGUCCAGACUCCUACGGGAGGCAGCAGUGGGGAAUCUUGCGCAAUGGGCGAAAGCCUGACGCAGCAACGCCGCGUGUGUGAUGAAGGUCUUCGGAUCGUAAAGCACUGUCGCGAGGGACG
Molecule: ribosomal RNA, 394 nt
Filed under: uncultured Anaeromyxobacter sp.
Lineage: Bacteria; Pseudomonadati; Myxococcota; Myxococcia; Myxococcales; Anaeromyxobacteraceae
Description: bacterial SSU rRNA
Rfam family: Bacterial small subunit ribosomal RNA
Source: RNAcentral